This is a long non-coding RNA of Canis lupus familiaris (dog), 1285 nucleotides long. RefSeq lists it as uncharacterized. The transcript has 3 exons. Lineage: Eukaryota; Metazoa; Chordata; Mammalia; Carnivora; Canidae. The record is from RefSeq and is a predicted model, not a curated record.
AGCUGUGCCAGAGGUUGCUGAGACGCAGGGCCAGAGAGCUCAAGUGCGGGUCACCGGGUUUGACAACAUGGAAAUCCCUGGUGACCCGGAGGAGGAAAAUUUUGGUGGAGUAGAUUAGCAGCACAUAGAAGCAAAGCCCGCGUGAGAGGCCGGAGUGAAAGGACCAGCUCUCCGCAUGACAUAUGCCUGUAGUACACGGUGACUGGCAGAUCUUUGGCCUGGAGACCAUUCUGUUUUUCUCCCAUAAAUCAGCGGCAAGUCUUGUUGGCUGGUGGCAAUUAAGAUAAUGAGGAUGCCUCGAUUGUAAUAUGGACACCGAACAUAGGAUAGAAUCUGCUGAGAAACAGACAAAAGUCAUCCAAAUGACAGACCGUGGUAUGAGGCUCAGUGAUGCCAGACUUCAGCACGGAGACUCAGGGGCAGCUUUUAUGAGGUUAAGUGUCAUGUCAUGGGAGAAGGGCAAAUAAAGAGCGCCUGCUGGCUCUACUCUGGCUCUACACUACUUUCCCUCCACCGUCCCUGCCUGGCUGCCAGGCAGCUGCCCCCAGAGUCCUCAAGGGCAGAGGAAACUAAGGAAGACUUAGCCAAGGCUGGAUGGGAACCAAUGGUAGAAUCAUUUGUACUCAUCCCUUGGAGAAGAGCCAUUUUUCUUUUCUGCAAACUAAGGGUGUGGCUUUUCCUUUUUUUUUUUUUUUUUUAAGGCUCUGAUGUGAAGUCAUAACAUCUCUAGGUUUUUACUGUCAGUCUUCCUCUUGGAAUUGAGACUUCUUCUUGUGUAACUUUUCUCCCCCCACCCCCCUGCCAAAAUGUGUAAAAACUGCAGGUUAACUGUAAGAGAAAUAUGCAAAAAGAGACAAAGUAUUAUUGGUAGUUAUGGGGCUCCAUCCUUCCAUACUUUCAGGCAUAAGAUGUCAUAUCAAUCCCUAUUCACUUGUACUAUUGACAUUCUGAAUCUGUGACCAUGUCACUUGGAACUUUCUUUUAUUUGAACUAUAGGACUUAUCAUUUAUCAAUAUUUACAUGCCUGCAGAAUGUGGCUGUAACAGGUCAUAUCCUAGUAGGGGAGCAAUUCACAUCCAAAGUUCAUUUGGCAUUUUAUCACUGGUUACACUUUCUACAGGGCAAAUAAAUACUUUGCCCACACUGCAUCAAUGAUUUGAAGUAUUGUGAUUGCUAAAGGUGCCUGUUGUAUCAUGUAUAUUUGUGCUCUAGGAUAUGUUUCACCUAUUUUCCCAUUAUCUGAAAUAAUUCCUUCUGAACCUUAUCUAAAAGACAUGCCAAAAAU